This 253-nucleotide ribosomal RNA is filed under the name uncultured bacterium. RNAcentral's name for it is "partial 16S ribosomal RNA". It matches the Rfam family "Bacterial small subunit ribosomal RNA", at positions 524 to 776 of the family's 1533-position model. The record is from RNAcentral.
UACAGAGGGUGCGAGCGUUAAUCGGAGUGACUGGGCGUAAAGGGCGCGUAGGCGGUUAUACAAGUGAGGUGUGAAAUCCCUGGGCUCAACCUAGGAAUUGCACCUUAGACUGUAAGACUAGAGUGCAGUAGAGGGUAGUGGAAUUUCCGGUGUAGCGGUGAAAUGCGCAGACAUCAGGAGGAACACCGGUGGCGAAGGCGGGUCUCUGGGCCGAUACUGACGCUGAGGAGCGAAAGCGUGGGGAGCGAACAGG